Molecule: ribosomal RNA, 497 nt
Filed under: uncultured bacterium
Lineage: Bacteria
Description: partial 16S ribosomal RNA
Rfam family: Bacterial small subunit ribosomal RNA
Source: RNAcentral
GAUGAACGCUGGCGGCGUGCCUAAUACAUGCAAGUCGAGCGAACAGACGCGGAGCUUGCUCCUCUGACGUUAGCCGCGGGCGGGUGAGUAACACGUGGAUAACCUACCUAUAAGACUGGGAUAACUUCGGGAAACCGGAGCUAAUACCGGAGAAUAUAUUGCACCGCAUGGUUCAAUAGUGAGAGACGGUGUUGCUGUCACUUAUAGAUGGUUCCGCGCCGCAUUAGCUAGUUGGUAAGGUAACGGCUUACGAAGGCAACGAUGCGUAGCCGAACUGAGAGGGGGAUCGGCCACACGGGAACUGAGACACGGACCAGACUACUACGGGAGGGAGCAGUAGGGAAUCGGCCGCAAUGGGCGAAAGCCUGACGGAGCAACGCGGAGUGAGUUAUGAAGGUGUUCGGAUCGUAAAACUCUGUUAUGAGGGAAGAACCAAUGUGUAAGUAACUGUGCACGUAUUGACGGUACCUAAUAAGAAAGCAACGGCUAACUACGUG